RNAcentral lists this ribosomal RNA (879 nucleotides) under Triticum aestivum (bread wheat). Its description in RNAcentral is "partial small subunit ribosomal RNA". Lineage: Eukaryota; Viridiplantae; Streptophyta; Magnoliopsida; Poales; Poaceae. The record is from RNAcentral.
AUGGAGUCCACGCCGGCGCCUCCUCUCCUGACGCCGCACAAGAUGGGCCAGUUCGACCUCUCGCACAGGCAUUGCAACCAGCCAGCACAGUUUCCAUUCAUGCCAUCGGUUGUGCUGGCACCACUGACGAGGCAACGGUCCUACGGCAACGUGCCACAGCCACACGCAAGGGUGUACUACGCGCAGCGGGCAACCAAGGGCGGGCUGCUCAUCGCGGAGGCGACCGGAGUGUCGGACACGGCGCAGGGGUACAAGGACGCCCCUGGCGUAUGGACGGAGGAGCAGGUCGACGCGUGGAAACCCGUGGUCGACGCCGUGCACGCCAAGGGUGCACUCUUCUUCUGCCAGAUAUGGCACGCCGGACGCGUCUCAAACUAUAAGUUACAACCAAAUGGGCAGGCGCCGAUAUCGAGCACCGACAAGCAGGUUAGUCCUCAGAUGAGCGCCGAUGGUCGUCUCGAGGAGUUCGCGCCGCCGAGGAGUCUCGCAAAGGACGAGAUACCCAAUGUGGUCGAUGACUUCAGAAAAGCUGCAAGGAACGCCAUCGCAGCUGGGUUCGACGGUGUUGAGAUCCACGGCGCCUAUAGCUACAUCAUUGAUCAGUUCCUCAAGGACAGCGCGAACGACCGCACCGACGAGUACGGUGGCAGCCUCGACAACCGAUGCCGCUUCGCGCUAGAGGUGGUGGACGCCGUCGUCGGGGAGGUGGGCGGCCACCGCGUGGGCAUCCGUCUGUCUCCCUUCACCGACUACAUGGACUGCCAUGACUCGGACCCUCAGGCUCUCGCCCUCCACCUCGUCAACAAGCUCAAUGACUAUGGCAUCCUCUACUGCCACAUGAUCGAGCCAAGGAUGGCGCAUGUCGAUGGCCGACGCUAG